GUCCCGGUAGAGUAAGAUUUGUUUUCGCUUUAUCCUGCUUUAUGACUCUUUACAAGAUAGUUUUACUUAAGUUUAGGGAAAAUUUUGCAAAGACUUAAAAUGAAAGCCCCCUGAAGUUGGUCAUUUUUUGUGGUUUAUCCGGCUUAUUUGGCUGUCCAAAUCGAAUUAAUUUUGACUUCGUUUCAAAGACAUAAUUUUCAAA
This 202-nucleotide long non-coding RNA is filed under the name Mytilus galloprovincialis (Mediterranean mussel). Lineage: Eukaryota; Metazoa; Mollusca; Bivalvia; Mytilida; Mytilidae. The record is from RNAcentral.